Molecule: non-coding RNA, 4119 nt
Organism: Pelodiscus sinensis (Chinese soft-shelled turtle)
Lineage: Eukaryota; Metazoa; Chordata; Testudines; Trionychidae
Source: RefSeq, a predicted model, not a curated record
CCCAGGUCCUCUGCCUCAGUUUCCCCUCUCUCUGUUUGUCUCUUUUAGACUGGGGCAGGGGCUGUGGGGUCGUAUGAGUCGCAGCACGGAUUGGUCCUACAAUACUCUCAUUGCUAACUUUAGAACUGAGACGCCGCCCCCCUCCUCCCCCACGGCCUGUAAUUCUGUCUCCACUAGGUUUCAGUCCAUCCCUUUCCACAGGCCUGUGCUUCCUCCAUCCACUUUGAAGAGCUGGAUUCCUGUGACGUGAUCUCUGAAAAUGAGCGGGCUCUGGUUACAGGGGUGGUAAAACCCUGGGUAUAUGGGGGGCAUCUGAUUAUCCAUGGAGGUUUGAUUUCUUUCAGUGAGUAGCAGCUGCUGGAUGGGGUGUCAUAUGAAUAAAUUAUAACACACUCGGCUUUAGGGUAACCAGAUGUCCCGGUAUUAGGAGCUUUGUCUUAUACAUGCAGCUGUAGCCCACCCCUCAGAAAAAAAAGUCCCGGUUUUUCACACUUGCUGUCUGGUCACCCUAAUUGGACCAGCACUGUGUGGCUGUGUCUAGACUGGCAAGUUUUUCCGCAAAUCAUCUGCUUUUGCGGAAAAACUUGCCAGCUGUCUACACUGGCCGCUUGAAUUUCCGCAAAAGCACUGACGAUCUCAUGUAAGAUUGUCCGUGCUUUUGCGGAAAUACGAUGCUGCUCCCGUUCGGGCAAAAGUCUUUUUCCGAAAAACUUUUGCGCAAAAGGGCCAGUGUAGACAGCAGAGAUUUGUUUUCAGCAAAAAAGCCCCGAUGGCCUAGUAAAGGUUAAUUCAGCUCUGUGUCGAGACGUAGGAUCAGAGCUAUGGACGAAGAGCCAGACCAUCCCUCAAAUGCGUAACCCCUUUUGAGAUGUACGUUUGCAAAUGUUUGGCGCUCAGAUCACGACCUUCAUCUGAUAACUGCCUUGAUAAGUGAGUAGGGAGAAGUUUUACAUCAAAUCUGGCCAGGACAUAGGUUACUACCGGCUAAUAGUAUAAGCCAAUUGAGUAUAGAACAAUUGAUAUUAAUAUGUCUCAGCUCCAAACGGAACGCCCCAGGAAAAAGGAACCAUUCUGGUAUCUAGCCUUUGUGACAAUGACAUUCCUGUACUUGAUACAUUGGUUUUUUUUAAAAGCUCGUUCCCUGUAAGGGUGUGUCUACAUAGCACCCUAAAUUCAAAAUAAGCUACGCAAUUUGUGCUAUGCAACCUGCGUGGGUUAUUUCGAGUCUAUUUCGAAAUAACAUGCUAUUUCAAGCUAUCCCUUAACUCUCGUGCAAGGAGGUUUGCAGGGAUGGUGAAAUAGCAUGCCUGUUAUUUUGAGAAAUAUUUCAAAAUAGCAGGCGUGUUUCUAAGAGGCAGGGUGGCUAUUUUGGGACACUUCGGUAUCCUGAAAUAUCUCUGCUGUGUAGACGUAGCUUAAGGGUCUUGUCAGGGUCGACUGUCCUGGGCAAAUGAUAAUAAAAAGCUUGGGAUUGUUUUCAAACCAAGGUGGUUUGUUUUCCCCCCCUUUAAGUCACAGGGAAAUUGUUAACACAUGGGAAAUAAUGCAGCAGGCAAGUGGACCAUUGCGUAUAUAAAGGGAUCGAAUGGGACUUUCGUUUCCUCAUUUGUAGUAGCCAUGUUGGGUCCGGGAUGUGAGAGACACCAGGAGUGUGUAUGUGGGGGGGUCAGGUCAUAUCUUCUAUUGGACCCCCCCUUUUGACGGUGAGAGAGACAUGCUUUCUGGCUAUUGGUCCUGACCUUGUCUCUCACCUUCAUUUCAUAGCACGUGAGAGGGGAAUGAAUUCAGGUGGUGAUUAAUUCACUUCAGGACAAGGAGUAAUGGGCUUAAAGUGCAGCAAGGGAGGUUUAGAUUGGACAUUAGGAAAAAAUUCCUGUCAGGGUGGUCAAAUAUUGGAAUAAAUUGCCAAGGGAGGUGGUGGAAUCUCCCUCUCUGGAGAUAUUUAAGAACAGGUUAGAUAGACAUCUGUCAGGGAUGGUGUAGACGGAGCUUGGUCCUGCCUUGAGGGCGGGGGGCUGGACUCAAUGACCUCUCGAGGUCCCUUCCAGUCCUAUGAUUCUAUGAUUCUAUGAUUCUAAGCUUUGCCAGAAUGGAAGCCACUUUCCGACUUCAUAAGCGUGUCCACACAGGAGUUUAAUGAGGUUGAACUACUCCACUUUAAAAGUGAACUUGGAUUUGUAUUCCCCUCCGCCCCCAGUUUAGGUCUACACUUCUGCAUUUUGUGUAGCUUUUUCCGAUUUUUUUCGGAAGAGGUUUUUCCAAAAUGUGGCCUUUCUACCCUGGGCCAAAGUUCAGAAAAUCCCCCUCUUUUGGAAGAUCCUUUCUUCCUCAUGGAAUGAGGAAAACAGGGCUACCGAAAGAAUGCAUUUGCACUUCUGCAAAAUAAGCGGAAACACAUUCCCCAGACACGGCAGGGGUUUUCCAGGAUAUCUCUGGUAUCCUGGAAAAACCCCGCCAUGUAGACAUAGCCUCGGGGUUCUAGUGUCAUGCAAUUUGUUGCAAACUCUCCCCCAGAAGGAAGCCGGAGAGCAGAGCCAUUUACCAUCUAGGGUUUGUUUAGUAUUUUUUCCAUUUCUUUAAUAAUAAAGUCGUUGUUGAGAGCCCUGAGUUGUUGGCUUGCCUCUAAUUGGGCCACUCCUGAGGGUGUGGGGAGAAGAACCCCCCUAGGAUAGAAACAGGGUAUGUGGUGGCGAGGGGCGUCACCCACGCACACACCCAAGCUGACAUGCAGAGACGGUUAUUAAGAUUUGGUUCCUGCCCGUAUUUCGUUUCCCAAACGGUGUUCCGCAGAACCCCGGGGUUCCGUGAAGUGACAAUAAGGAUUCUGCGAGAAAAUUCCAUUACAAUCCCAUUUUAUGAUUUAAAGAAAAAUCAUGUUUUUAAAUAUGGGCAAUUAAACUAAAUGUUGAUCUCAUGGCCUUGUUUAGCCUUUGUUUAUGAUUAUCCUUACUUAUUUUGUGGUCUACUUUUUCAGCUCCAUAUGUCAGCCUCUUAUUAGAGGUUCCGCAAAAUUCUUUAAAAAAGGGUUCCAUGGCCAAAUAAAAUUGGGAAACACUGCGCUCGAGACGAUGAUUUUAUAAAGCCCUGCUACAGGCCCCAUCCUCACGAUGGAGGCAGAGGGAUUCCUGCAGGUGCAGUGUUGGGAUGGACCAGCAGGAGGUGCUAUGUGGGGAAGAGGAACUUGCCUGGCUGUUACACGACUGCCCUCGCAUCAGGGGCUGACCUAGCCUAGACAGACAUCCGUGAACUUCAGCCUUGCAUCUCCUGAGAUCCCCUGAAGGGGACAGAAGGGAGCUGGGGCUUUUGGGCCGGGUCUGCCCUUGGUGGGCCCUGCUGAGUCUGCCAACUUGGGGGUUGGGCCAUGCCAAUGGGAGAGGCAGUUACACCAUUACAAACUGGAUCCACCCCACUCAUGCCUCCCACAAACAGAAUGUCACCUGUGCCACUAAGCCACACUCACCCCGCGGCCAUUCCCAGCUGGUCUCCAGGCCCAACACAAACACCCAGUGUGGGAUAAAGCACCUCCCAAAAGGAACAGAACCCAGGAGGCCUGGUUCUGCUCUAACCACUAGACCCCGCUCCCUUCCCAGAGCUGGGGAGAGAACCCAGGAGUCCUGAUGCCCUCUUGCUCUAACCACUAGACCCCGCUCCCUUCCCAGAGCUGGGGAGAGAACCCAGGAGUCCUUUCAGAGGAGGAGAGUCAUCCUUUUAAGGUCUGGGGGACUCUCCGCCCCUCCCUUUCCUUUCCACUGUGGCGUGUCACAGAGAGGAAAUCGAAAGUUAAGCGAGUGAAAAUCUGGUUUCAUUUCUCCCUGCAAGGCUGCUCUGAUCCGACCCACUUGCAGUGGCAGAACUGGGCUCCUGACAGGGAGAAUUCCUUUGCCCGUGGUGGAGGCAUCUUCAGUCUCGGCAUGGAGCACUUGGUUACAAGGGACCUGACAUUAUCCUUCCGAGAGAUCCUGAAGAAGAAGAUGGAGAUGGAGCAGCUGGGCCUAAUGAAGGAAGGUUUGGCGGCCUGUUUUAGCAAAGCCUUGGAGCUGAAGGACGAGUCCCAAGGAAUUGAUGACGAAUUCUGGGAGAGAGCCACGCUCAUCAUCCAAGCAGAUGGGAUGUGUCUGG